UACAGUCAUAUCAUGAUGAAAUACCGGUUCUUAUCCGAUCACCAAAGUUAAGCAACAUUGUGUUUGGUCAGUACCUAGAUGGGUGACUGCUUGGGAAUAGCAGGUGCUGUAA
This is a non-coding RNA of Acanthosepion pharaonis, 112 nucleotides long. Lineage: Eukaryota; Metazoa; Mollusca; Cephalopoda; Sepiida; Sepiidae. The record is from the annotation of a GenBank genome assembly.